Stylophora pistillata is the source of this 389-nucleotide long non-coding RNA. NCBI's taxonomy places the organism in Eukaryota, Metazoa, Cnidaria, Anthozoa, Scleractinia, Pocilloporidae. The record is from RefSeq and is a predicted model, not a curated record.
CGACGAUCAGGAGUGUGGCCAUACGUGGUUGUCGUCUAGAUACCAGGAAAACGGUUACGACGGACGAGCUUUGUACGGUUAUCGUUGUCCCGAACACCCACUGCACAGCUUCGGGAUAUUCCAUGACCAAGAUGGAAUGCUUUAUGUAAAGUGAUCAGUGAAUAGUCAGUGGAAACUUUUGAGUUUGGACUUGUUUCAAAGUCUAUGAUAGUAAACUUUGCACACAGACUUUACAAGAUGCAGGCAUUGCAUUCUCAUUCAAAAAGGACUGAUUAUGCAAACAGCACAACCCAAAACAGACCCUGGCAAAAUAAUAUUCAUUCGUUUCUUUGAUUCAUUGGGUCAAGGGACGGUUAAAUGAGGAUUAAAUGAUGAGAAUGAAUAACCUA